UGUUGUUGCUGGUGCUGGUGCUGGUGCUGGUGCUGUCCGGGGAUAGAGAUGUAGAUGGAGCAACACCACCACCACCACCAACAACACAA
This 89-nucleotide microRNA precursor is filed under the name Drosophila guanche. Lineage: Eukaryota; Metazoa; Arthropoda; Insecta; Diptera; Drosophilidae. The record is from RNAcentral.